CCAGUGUGAUGGUAUUUGGAGGCGGGGCCUUUGGGAGGUAGUUAGGUCAUGAGGGCGGAGCCCUCAUGAAUGGGAUGAGUGCCCUUAUAAGAAAAGCCCAGGGAGCUAGCUCACUCUCUUUCACCAUGUGAGGAUGCUGUGAGAAGUUUGCCGUCUGCACCCUGGGAGAGGGCUCUCCCCAGAACUGACCAUGCUGGCACCCUGAUCGUGAACUUCCAGCCUCCAGAACUGUGAGAUAUAAAUUCCUGUUGUUUAUAAGCUACCUAGUCUAUGUACUUGGUUAAAGCAGCCCAAGCCGACUCAGGAAACACUAUCUAGCAGAAGGAGUUAGGAAAGUGGUUUCCCUGGUUUUUACAUCUGUGACAAAAUGGAGGCGUGGAUUAGGCUUUCGAUACGGAUCAGGUUAUCAGCUUACCUCACCAACCUUGCAAUUGAAGUCCUGGGACCUGGAAAAUUGGGCAAAGGAAGAGAUCCCCAAGCUUAGAGCAGAGACAUGGAGGAGACCCUGAAGCAACAGAUGAGAGCAGCAGGCCAGGGUGGCAGAAGCGCUGUGGCAUUAGGAGAGAGAGACUGCACUGUGGUCCCACGUGGCGUGGGGGCCCUUCAUAGAGAUUGCUGAGCCUCCUUCUACGUUGCAGCCACGUGCUGUACAGAUUCAGGGACCCAGACCACCCCAGGCGACCAGUGAAGAGGCUGACUGAGGACCUCCUAGCCUAACCUUUGCCUGUGAAGACCCGUGGAUGGAGCCUAGCCGCAGUCUACACAGCAGGGAAGGUUUGCUAGGUAGUCAAAACUCAGAGUUUUCAACUAAGAGAGUUGUGUGUGUGUGUGGCAACAGG
Molecule: long non-coding RNA, 839 nt
Filed under: Equus asinus (donkey)
Lineage: Eukaryota; Metazoa; Chordata; Mammalia; Perissodactyla; Equidae
Description: lncRNA (ENSEASG00005030317.1)
Source: RNAcentral